RNAcentral lists this ribosomal RNA (47 nucleotides) under Fusarium sp. KC-2010ba. RNAcentral describes it as "partial 28S ribosomal RNA". Lineage: Eukaryota; Fungi; Ascomycota; Sordariomycetes; Hypocreales; Nectriaceae. The record is from RNAcentral.
UCGAAUCAGGUAGGAAUACCCGCUGAACUUAAGCAUAUCAAAGCCGC